AAAUUGAAGAGUUUGAUCAUGGCUCAGAUUGAACGCUGGCGGCAGGCCUAACACAUGCAAGUCGAACGGUAACAGGAAGCAGCUUGCUGCUUUGCUGACGAGUGGCGGACGGGUGAGUAAUGUCUGGGAAACUGCCUGAUGGAGGGGGAUAACUACUGGAAACGGUAGCUAAUACCGCAUAACGUCGCAAGACCAAAGAGGGGGACCUUCGGGCCUCUUGCCAUCGGAUGUGCCCAGAUGGGAUUAGCUAGUAGGUGGGGUAACGGCUCACCUAGGCGACGAUCCCUAGCUGGUCUGAGAGGAUGACCAGCCACACUGGAACUGAGACACGGUCCAGACUCCUACGGGAGGCAGCAGUGGGGAAUAUUGCACAAUGGGCGCAAGCCUGAUGCAGCCAUGCCGCGUGUAUGAAGA
Molecule: ribosomal RNA, 414 nt
Filed under: Escherichia coli
Lineage: Bacteria; Pseudomonadati; Pseudomonadota; Gammaproteobacteria; Enterobacterales; Enterobacteriaceae
Also listed under: 1 other name
Description: bacterial SSU rRNA
Rfam family: Bacterial small subunit ribosomal RNA
Source: RNAcentral